Molecule: ribosomal RNA, 254 nt
Filed under: uncultured bacterium
Lineage: Bacteria
Description: partial 16S ribosomal RNA
Rfam family: Bacterial small subunit ribosomal RNA
Source: RNAcentral
UACGUAGGGGGCAAGCGUUGUCCGGAUUUAUUGGGCGUAAAGAGCUCGUAGGCGGCUCGGUAAGUCGGAUGUGAAAUCUCCAGGCUCAACCUGGAGACGCCAUCUGAUACUGCCGUGGCUUGAGUCCGGUAGAGGAGCAGGGAAUUCCUGGUGUAGCGGUGAAAUGCGCAGAUAUCAGGAGGAACACCAGCGGCGAAGGCGCUGCUCUGGGCCGGUACUGACGCUGAGGAGCGAAAGCGUGGGGAGCGAACAGG